UCACGCCUCCCACGUCGCGCGCCACUGCCAGCAGCUCCGCCCUCUGCCAGAUCGCUCAGCGCACGGCAGCAGCACAGCCUUCACUUGGUCGCGCCACCACCGUGCCUGCUGCUCCGCUUCUCUCCACGCCGCCAGCCCCAUUUCCGGUUAAUCGCAUUCCGACAACACUAUAAAUUUGGAUCGCCCGGGUCCAUUUAGUGUUCCUCCAGGACAGAAUCAAAGCUAGAA
This is an RNA transcript of Jatropha curcas, 228 nucleotides long. RefSeq lists it as uncharacterized. NCBI's taxonomy places the organism in Eukaryota, Viridiplantae, Streptophyta, Magnoliopsida, Malpighiales, Euphorbiaceae. The record is from RefSeq and is a predicted model, not a curated record.